Molecule: small nucleolar RNA, 106 nt
Organism: Dioscorea cayenensis subsp. rotundata (Guinea yam)
Lineage: Eukaryota; Viridiplantae; Streptophyta; Magnoliopsida; Dioscoreales; Dioscoreaceae
Source: RefSeq, a predicted model, not a curated record
AACUCAUGUUAUGGACACUUCCGCAAGAGGUCCUUAAAUCGCUCCCAAGUCUUAAACAAGGAUUUAGGUUCCAUCUAAAGAAAUGAAGAUAUCUCAUUGCGAAGCU